AGGAAACGGAGUCUUUGAAGCUUGCCCAACGUCACCGGAAUUGGACCAUUUAAAUAGUUCAAGUAAAGAUCCAAGCUCACCAAGUUCGUCAAAUUCCCAAGCUCAUCCGGAAUUGUUCCGCUUAUGUUAUUACUAUAAAGUUCCAAGUAUUGCAAAUUUGAAAGCUGACCAAGUUGUGAAACGAGUUGACCCGUCAAAUUUGCAUUUCCAAGGUCAACUCGGGUAACACUAUUUUCACUGUUGCAGGUAACAUGAAACCAAGUGCAGGGAUUGACAAGGGUAGGAUCCCAACUUUGUAGAACGUUGUUAGGAUCAACUAAAUUGGUCUUCAAUGCGUUCAAGGCAUCGCCUUCAGCAUUACCAGCAACUCUGAAAACAAUGUGAAACAGCAAAAUCAAAC
RNAcentral lists this unclassified non-coding RNA (400 nucleotides) under Hevea brasiliensis (rubber tree). The record is from RNAcentral. Lineage: Eukaryota; Viridiplantae; Streptophyta; Magnoliopsida; Malpighiales; Euphorbiaceae.